CCUACGGGAGGCAGCAGUGGGGAAUAUUGGACAAUGGGGGCAACCCUGAUCCAGCCAUGCCGCGUGUGUGAAGAAGGCCCUCGGGUUGUAAAGCACUUUCAGUGAGGAAGAACGCCUGGUGGUUAAUACCCAUCAGGAAAGACAUCACUCACAGAAGAAGCACCGGCUAACUCCGUGCCAGCAGCCGCGGUAAUACGGAGGGUGCGAGCGUUAAUCGGAAUUACUGGGCGUAAAGCGCGCGUAGGUGGCUUGAUAAGCCGGUUGUGAAAGCCCCGGGCUCAACCUGGGAACGGCAUCCGGAACUGUCAAGCUAUAGUGCAGGAGAGGAAGGUAGAAUUCCCGGUGUAGCGGUGAAAUGCGUAGAGAUCGGGAGGAAUACCAGUGGCGAAGGCGGCCUUCUGGACUGACACUGACACUGAGGUGCGAAAGCGUGGGUAGCAAACAGGAUUAGAUACCCCAGUAGUC
This 465-nucleotide ribosomal RNA is filed under the name Vreelandella stevensii. RNAcentral's name for it is "partial 16S ribosomal RNA". It matches the Rfam family "Bacterial small subunit ribosomal RNA", at positions 338 to 795 of the family's 1533-position model. The record is from RNAcentral. Lineage: Bacteria; Pseudomonadati; Pseudomonadota; Gammaproteobacteria; Oceanospirillales; Halomonadaceae.